UGCAGUCGAACGAACUCUGGUAUUGAUUGGUGCUUGCAUCAUGAUUUACAUUUGAGUGAGUGGCGAACUGGUGAGUAACACGUGGGAAACCUGCCCAGAAGCGGGGGAUAACACCUGGAAACAGAUGCUAAUACCGCAUAACAACUUGGACCGCAUGGUCCGAGUUUGAAAGAUGGCUUCGGCUAUCACUUUUGGAUGGUCCCGCGGCGUAUUAGCUAGAUGGUGGGGUAACGGCUCACCAUGGCAAUGAUACGUAGCCGACCUGAGAGGGUAAUCGGCCACAUUGGGACUGAGACACGGCCCAAACUCCUACGGGAGGCAGCAGUAGGGAAUCUUCCACAAUGGACGAAAGUCUGAUGGAGCAACGCCGCGUGAGUGAAGAAGGGUUUCGGCUCGUAAAACUCUGUUGUUAAAGAAGAACAUAUCUGAGAGUAACUGUUCAGGUAUUGACGGUAUUUAACCAGAAAGCCACGGCUAACUACGUGCCAGCAGCCGCGGUAAUACGUAGGUGGCAAGCGUUGUCCGGAUUUAUUGGGCGUAAAGCGAGCGCAGGCGGUUUUUUAAGUCUGAUGUGAAAGCCUUCGGCUCAACCGAAGAAGUGCAUCGGAAACUGGGAAACUUGAGUGCAGAAGAGGACAGUGGAACUCCAUGUGUAGCGGUGAAAUGCGUAGAUAUAUGGAAGAACACCAGUGGCGAAGGCGGCUGUCUGGUCUGUAACUGACGCUGAGGCUCGAAAGUAUGGGUAGCAAACAGGAUUAGAUACCCUGGUAGUCCAUACCGUAAACGAUGAAUGCUAAGUGUUGGAGGGUUUCCGCCCUUCAGUGCUGCAGCUAACGCAUUAAGCAUUCCGCCUGGGGAGUACGGCCGCAAGGCUGAAACUCAAAGGAAUUGACGGGGGCCCGCACAAGCGGUGGAGCAUGUGGUUUAAUUCGAAGCUACGCGAAGAACCUUACCAGGUCUUGACAUACUAUGCAAAUCUAAGAGAUUAGACGUUCCCUUCGGGGACAUGGAUACAGGUGGUGCAUGGUUGUCGUCAGCUCGUGUCGUGAGAUGUUUGGGUUAAGUCCCGCAACGAGCGCAACCCUUAUUAUCAGUUGCCAGCA
RNAcentral lists this ribosomal RNA (1103 nucleotides) under Lactiplantibacillus plantarum. Its description in RNAcentral is "bacterial SSU rRNA". It matches the Rfam family "Bacterial small subunit ribosomal RNA", at positions 56 to 1123 of the family's 1533-position model. Lineage: Bacteria; Bacillati; Bacillota; Bacilli; Lactobacillales; Lactobacillaceae. The record is from RNAcentral.